UACGUAGGUGGCAAGCGUUAUCCGGAUUUAUUGGGCGUAAAGCGAGCGCAGGCGGUCUUUUAAGUCUAAUGUGAAAGCCUUCGGCUCAACCGAAGAAGUGCAUUGGAAACUGGGAGACUUGAGUGCAGAAGAGGACAGUGGAACUCCAUGUGUAGCGGUGAAAUGCGUAGAUAUAUGGAAGAACACCAGUGGCGAAGGCGGCUGUCUGGUCUGUAACUGACGUUGAGGGACGAAGGCCUGGGUAGCAAGAAGG
RNAcentral lists this ribosomal RNA (253 nucleotides) under uncultured bacterium. Its description in RNAcentral is "partial 16S ribosomal RNA". It matches the Rfam family "Bacterial small subunit ribosomal RNA", at positions 524 to 776 of the family's 1533-position model. The record is from RNAcentral.